ACAUACUGUGAGCUCGAUGAGUAGGGCGGGACACGUGGUAUCCUGUCUGAAUAUGGGGGGACCAUCCUCCAAGGCUAAAUACUCCUGACUGACCGAUAGUGAACCAGUACCGUGAGGGAAAGGCGAAAAGAACCCCGGCGAGGGGAGUGAAAAAGAACCUGAAACCGUGUACGUACAAGCAGUGGGAGCACAGAGCAAUCUGUGUGACUGCGUACCUUUUGUAUAAUGGGUCAGCGACUUAUAUUCUGUAGCAAGGUUAACCGAAUAGGGGAGCCGAAGGGAAACCGAGUCUUAACUGGGCGUUAAGUUGCAGGGUAUAGACCCGAAACCCGGUGAUCUAGCCAUGGGCAGGUUGAAGGUUGGGUAACACUAACUGGAGGACCGAACCGACUAAUGUUGAAAAAUUAGCGGAUGACUUGUGGCUGGGGGUGAAAGGCCAAUCAAACCGGGAGAUAGCUGGUUCUCCCCGAAAGCUAUUUAGGUAGCGCCUCGUGAAUUCAUCUCCGGGGGUAGAGCACUGUUUCGGCAAGGGGGUCAUCCCGACUUACCAACCCGAUGCAAACUGCGAAUACCGGAGAAUGUUAUCACGGGAGACACACGGCGGGUGCUAACGUCCGUCGUGAAGAGGGAAACAACCCAGACCGCCAGCUAAGGUCCCAAAGUCAUGGUUAAGUGGGAAACGAUGUGGGAAGGCCCAGACAGCCAGGAUGUUGGCUUAGAAGCAGCCAUCAUUUAAAGAAAGCGUAAUAGCUCACUGGUCGAGUCGGCCUGCGCGGAAGAUGUAACGGGGCUAAACCAUGCACCGAAGCUGCGGCAGCGACGCUGAUGCGUUGUUGGGUAGGGGAGCGUUCUGUAAGCCUGUGAAGGUGUGCUGUGAGGCAUGCUGGAGGUAUCAGAAGUGCGAAUGCUGACAUAAGUAACGAUAAAGCGGGUGAAAAGCCCGCUCGCCGGAAGACCAAGGGUUCCUGUCCAACGUUAAUCGGGGCAGGGUGAGUCGACCCCUAAGGCGAGGCCGAAAGGCGUAGUCGAUGGGAAACAGGUUAAUAUUCCUGUACUUGGUGUUACUGCGAAGGGGGGACGGAGAAGGCUAUGUUGGCCGGGCGACGGUUGUCCCGGUUUAAGCGUGUAGGCUGGUUUUCCAGGCAAAUCCGGAAAAUCAAGGCUGAGGCGUGAUGACGAGGCACUACGGUGCUGAAGCAACAAAUGCCCUGCUUCCAGGAAAAGCCUCUAAGCAUCAGGUAACAUCAAAUCGUACCCCAAACCGACACAGGUGGUCAGGUAGAGAAUACCAAGGCGCUUGAGAGAACUCGGGUGAAGGAACUAGGCAAAAUGGUGCCGUAACUUCGGGAGAAGGCACGCUGAUAUGUAGGUGAAGUCCCUCGCGGAUGGAGCUGAAAUCAGUCGAAGAUACCAGCUGGCUGCAACUGUUUAUUAAAAACACAGCACUGUGCAAACACGAAAGUGGACGUAUACGGUGUGACGCCUGCCCGGUGCCGGAAGGUUAAUUGAUGGGGUCAGCGCAAGCGAAGCUCUUGAUCGAAGCCCCGGUAAACGGCGGCCGUAACUAUAACGGUCCUAAGGUAGCGAAAUUCCUUGUCGGGUAAGUUCCGACCUGCACGAAUGGCGUAAUGAUGGCCAGGCUGUCUCCACCCGAGACUCAGUGAAAUUGAACUCGCUGUGAAGAUGCAGUGUACCCGCGGCAAGACGGAAAGACCCCGUGAACCUUUACUAUAGCUUGACACUGAACAUUGAGCCUUGAUGUGUAGGAUAGGUGGGAGGCUUUGAAGUGUGGACGCCAGUCUGCAUGGAGCCGACCUUGAAAUACCACCCUUUAAUGUUUGAUGUUCUAACGUUGACCCGU
This 1861-nucleotide ribosomal RNA is filed under the name Escherichia coli. RNAcentral describes it as "partial 23S ribosomal RNA". It matches the Rfam family "Bacterial large subunit ribosomal RNA", at positions 392 to 2236 of the family's 2925-position model. The record is from RNAcentral. Lineage: Bacteria; Pseudomonadati; Pseudomonadota; Gammaproteobacteria; Enterobacterales; Enterobacteriaceae.